UGGGGAAUCUUGCGCAAUGGGCGAAAGCCUGACGCAGCCAUGCCGCGUGAAUGAUGAAGGUCUUAGGAUUGUAAAAUUCUUUCAGCGGGGACGAUAAUGACGGUACCCGCAGAAGAAGCCCCGGCUAACUUCGUGCCAGCAGCCGCGGUAAUACGAAGGGGGCUAGCGUUGCUCGGAUUUACUGGGCGUAAAGGGAGCGUAGGCGGAACGACAAGUCAGAGGUGAAAGCCCGGGGCUCAACCUCGGAAUUGCCUUUGAGACUGUCGAUCUAGAGUUUGGGAGAGGUGUGUGGAACUCCGAGUGUAGAGGUGAAAUUCGUAGAUAUUCGGAAGAACACCAGUGGCGAAGGCGACACACUGGCCCAAUACUGACGCUGAGGCUCGAAAGCGUGGGGAGCAAACAG
RNAcentral lists this ribosomal RNA (403 nucleotides) under uncultured bacterium. RNAcentral describes it as "bacterial SSU rRNA". It matches the Rfam family "Bacterial small subunit ribosomal RNA", at positions 355 to 775 of the family's 1533-position model. The record is from RNAcentral.